GCGCUCCCUUCCUGGUCACACUUCAGUUACGGACACUGAAGAGCUGCAGUCAUCAACACAAUGAUGAACUUCACUAUGAGAACAGCUUUACUGCUCUGCAGCCUCAGCUGGAUCUCUGUCUCAGUGUCUGAGUCUCAGACUGUGAAGGCUCAGUCUGGUCAAGAAGUCAAACUGCUGUGCCCAAAGACAAUCAAAGAUCCAGCUGUGACUUUCUGGCUCAGAGUGGUCAACAGGAUCAAUAUGAGCUGUAUCUCAGUUAUGUCCGGGUCUGACAGUAAAGCUGAAUACUGCGAUGGAUAUGAAGCUGGAAAUUUUCAAAUGAGAUCCAACAGCUCUACUGUCUAUCUCAAAAUCAAACAAGUGAAUGUAUCUGACUCUGGACAGUAUUUCUGUGGAUUUUACACAAAUGGACGUGUAACUUUCACUGAGUCUCAGUAUUUAAAUCUUACCUCCAGUAAGAUUAUUGUAAAAUCUUUUCUGUCUUUUCAUUCCCAUUGUUCUGUCAUGUCUUUUUCUGCUUAUAUGAUAAAUAGAUUUUGACAGCAGGUAAGAAAUGGUUAUGAUGUACGUCUGCCAAAAUAAACUCAAGACUAAAAAUAUCUUCAUUUCUUUACAAGGCAAUGAUGAGCCACAUGAUGUCGAGGACAGCAAAUGUAAAGAAGAGAGUGGUGUGAUAAAGCUGACAUGUGUGAUCCUGCGUGGUCUGAGUGUUCUCCUUGUAAUGGUCAACACUGGUCUGCUUGUUCGAACCAGUAAACUUUAGACAGCUGAUAAAGAAGAACAGAAUCCACAGCAAAGUGAGACUCGUGUCUCUGAUGAUGUGAACUACGCAGCUGUGACUUUUCAAACAAAAACCAAGAGAAGAGAGCUGGAGACAAAUGUUGUUUAUGCUGCCACCAGAUAGACUCAGGAGGCAACUGGAACUGAUGCUGCAUCAUAUUACACAUUAUACAUUAUAUUAUGCUCUGGGCUUUGUACGGCUUGUUGGUGACAGGAAUAACUACUCUUAAAAUAAUAUAUGGAAGUUUGCAAUAAAGAGCUGAUGUUGAGC
This is an RNA transcript of Lates calcarifer (barramundi perch), 1051 nucleotides long. RefSeq lists it as uncharacterized. The record is from RefSeq and is a predicted model, not a curated record. The transcript is spliced from 6 exons. NCBI's taxonomy places the organism in Eukaryota, Metazoa, Chordata, Actinopteri, Centropomidae.